GCGGCGUGCCUAUACAUGCAAGUCGAGCGGACAGAAGGGAGCUUGCUCCCGGAUGUUAGCGGCGGACGGGUGAGUAACACGUGGGUAACCUGCCUGUAAGACUGGGAUAACUCCGGGAAACCGGAGCUAAUACCGGAUAGUUCCUUGAACCGCAUGGUUCAAGGAUGAAAGACGGUUUCGGCUGUCACUUACAGAUGGACCCGCGGCGCAUUAGCUAGUUGGUGGGGUAAUGGCUCACCAAGGCGACGAUGCGUAGCCGACCUGAGAGGGUGAUCGGCCACACUGGGACUGAGACACGGCCCAGACUCCUACGGGAGGCAGCAGUAGGGAAUCUUCCGCAAUGGACGAAAGUCUGACGGAGCAACGCCGCGUGAGUGAUGAAGGUUUUCGGAUCGUAAAGCUCUGUUGUUAGGGAAGAACAAGUGCGAGAGUAACUGCUCGCACCUUGACGGUACCUAACCAGAAAGCCACGGCUAACUACGUGCCAGCAGCCGCGGUAAUACGUAGGUGGCAAGCGUUGUCCGGAAUUAUUGGGCGUAAAGGGCUCGCAGGCGGUUUCUUAAGUCUGAUGUGAAAGCCCCCGGCUCAACCGGGGAGGGUCAUUGGAAACUGGGAAACUUGAGUGCAGAAGAGGAGAGUGGAAUUCCACGUGUAGCGGUGAAAUGCGUAGAGAUGUGGAGGAACACCAGUGGCGAAGGCGACUCUCUGGUCUGUAACUGACGCUGAGGAGCGAAAGCGUGGGGAGCGAACAGGAUUAGAUACCCUGGUAGUCCACGCCGUAAACGAUGAGUGCUAAGUGUUAGGGGGUUUCCGCCCCUUAGUGCUGCAGCUAACGCAUUAAGCACUCCGCCUGGGGAGUACGGUCGCAAGACUGAAACUCAAAGGAAUUGACGGGGGCCCGCACAAGCGGUGGAGCAUGUGGUUUAAUUCGAAGCAACGCGAAGAACCUUACCAGGUCUUGACAUCCUCUGACAACCCUAGAGAUAGGGCUUUCCCUUCGGGGACAGAGUGACAGGUGGUGCAUG
This 1025-nucleotide ribosomal RNA is filed under the name Bacillus sp. (in: firmicutes). RNAcentral's name for it is "bacterial SSU rRNA". It matches the Rfam family "Bacterial small subunit ribosomal RNA", at positions 39 to 1047 of the family's 1533-position model. Lineage: Bacteria; Bacillati; Bacillota; Bacilli; Caryophanales; Bacillaceae. The record is from RNAcentral.